Ictidomys tridecemlineatus (thirteen-lined ground squirrel) is the source of this 1101-nucleotide non-coding RNA. The record is from RefSeq and is a predicted model, not a curated record. Lineage: Eukaryota; Metazoa; Chordata; Mammalia; Rodentia; Sciuridae.
ACUGGAGGCCAUCAGUAAGAAGGGUCAUAGCUUUGGGCUGGGCAACUUCUAUGCAGAGGACACUGUGCAGGGAGGGACUCAGUUGUGAACAGUCAGAGACUAACACUCCCAAUGGCUAACAGAAGGAGUAUCUCAUUCCUGAAGUUUUAGGUUACGGAUAAGGAUGAUUCCCCUGGAUUCUGGAAGAAGGGAAAACAUGGAAGAACUCACUCAAGGAAAAGAUCAUUGUAAGCAGUUAUGAACAGCUGGAGUAGCCAUUAGGGAAUAUUAGAGAAAUAUUAACUGAUUCACAUAUACUACAUGGAAGCAAAAUAUUGAUAUCUCUGGAGUCGGACAAGCCUGUUUAUGAAUCCUGAGUCAGCCGCCCAGAUGUACACAUGACCUCAACUGGGCUUCCUCUCUCACCGGUAGAGAACAAUUCCACUUAAACUUGAUGUUCUCGUGUCAUGAAUACAGCAGGACUAAUAUGAUCUACUCCAAAGCCAUUCUCUACAUUUCCUGGUAAAUUUGUCAAACCAAAUAACCAUGGAGGAGGACUGGUCACUUCUAAACCCAGACUCUCAGGACCUGUCCAUUUUUCCGAGUGGAAUGACUAGUUAAUAUGCAUUCAUAUUAAUCUUUGUGAAGAUUUUAAGCAUCAUCAUCAGAACAACAUUGCAAAACUCAUGAACAUCUGGAUAUCCCCUGGAUUCCUAAUUGCUGAAUAACAUUGGAGAAAGACACUCCCUUCCCCUUAUCAGAAAAUGAGGGGACUGAACUGGACUCCUAAAUUCUCUCCGGUCUCUCACAUCAUAGAAACAGAAUUGUUGUUGAAUAUUUUAGAAAAUUCAAGAUCUAAAACAACAUGAAUUUUGAACUCCAUGCACUCAUAGGCUGGAGCUCUGUGAGAAUAUGUAUAAAUAAAUGGCUACUCUCAGAAGAGUUACAGAUUGUUGGGCAUUCAGGGGCUUGGGAUGUAUUUGAUCUAUCCCUGACAUUUUUUGGAUGAAGAAACAAAGGUCUGAAGAAUAAAGGAGACUCAUCUAACCAGCAUUACGAAGAUAAAAGCAGAGCUGCUAUGAAAAUCAAAGAAGCACCCUAAUAAAAAUGAUGAUGUUAAAG